Molecule: small nuclear RNA, 149 nt
Filed under: Phascolarctos cinereus (koala)
Lineage: Eukaryota; Metazoa; Chordata; Mammalia; Diprotodontia; Phascolarctidae
Description: U1 spliceosomal RNA (ENSPCIG00000002421.2)
Rfam family: U1 spliceosomal RNA
About the family: U1 is a small nuclear RNA (snRNA) component of the spliceosome (involved in pre-mRNA splicing). Its 5' end forms complementary base pairs with the 5' splice junction, thus defining the 5' donor site of an intron.
Source: RNAcentral
AUACUUAUCUGGCAGGAGUGAUUCUAUGAUCAUGAAGGUGGUUUCCCCCUGGGUGAGGCUUAUCUGUUGCACUCCAUAUAGGUUUGACCCCUGUGAUUUCCCCAAAUAUGGGUAAUUUGUGGUAGUGGGGGUCUUCAAGCUCUCCCCUA